This is a long non-coding RNA of Bombus pyrosoma, 1063 nucleotides long. RefSeq lists it as uncharacterized. The record is from RefSeq and is a predicted model, not a curated record. The transcript is spliced from 3 exons. Lineage: Eukaryota; Metazoa; Arthropoda; Insecta; Hymenoptera; Apidae.
CAAGAAUUUCCUGCAGAGCGCGGCGUUCAUUCGUUUAAUCGAUUCGUAUCGUCGAUCGUGCGUUAUCGCGCGCAUAAAUCACCCGUUCGAAUCGGAGAAAAAGACAACCGAGAAAUCGAAUGGAACUGCAACGUUUCUGAAUCGAAACGCGUAAGGGAGUCUACCGUGGAUACACGCGAGGAAUACAAAAGGGACACGCGAUCGCGGAUCAACCGGAGUGAACCGUAACGGAUCAGAAGCGAGAAAUACCCAGGGAAAUGAUCUUCCGUUAAUUCGAUCGUCUAUGUACGAACUAUCUGCGACAUACAUAUUUCAUGGGAAUUCGGAUUACAUCGCGAGAAAUCGUAGUAGAGUUCGAGUUCCAGAAAUUCCUGAUCGGAAUUUCGAACGUGUGUAGCGUGCAUUGGCGUAACGCCACGCAGAUACACCAAGAUCGAUUACCAAUUUUCAACGAAUCUAUUUUCGGGAAUAAUACGCAGAUGUUGACUGAAUAUCCUCUACCUAUUUCCUCUCGUUUCGCGCGUUGUAAAUUCAACGUUAUUCGAACAAGCGCAGUCGUGUAACACUCCCACGGAAAACAGAAGGAGUCUAUUUGCAUCGUUCGUUGCUUUGAAAAUUACAAGAACUAGAAACGCGUAAUACGAUUUGCGGCGCUGCUCGACCGAAAACAGACACACUCGAUAUCGCAGAAACACGUGCGCAUCGCUACGCUACUGCAAGACGGUGAAUCCCAAGCAAGGAAGAACGACCUUUUACGAUGCACUAUUUUCGCCAAAAAGCAUACUGUGCAUAGCGCACACGCGAACGGAAUAUUCUAUAGAAGAUAACGUUACAAAAUCUUGAAUAGUGACGUGACUUGGUGCGUGAAUUUAGUCUGAAAAUCGUCCGAAAUAUACAUAUAUAUAACGUUCGGCGUCCUAAUCGAUACAGAAUAACGUAUCGUACGAUAAAUUCGUUUAAUGAUAUUGUUAUUAAAGAUUAAUGAACCGUAUAGCUUAUUUCCCGUAUUUAAAAUUGGGACGUUAUUCCAAUUUGUCAUACGUUUGUAACACAGAUAUGCGGU